UUCCACCCGCCUUAGCCAGUGCCAGCCGCACCGCAGUCGGAGGAAACAGACGCAGGGCCUGAGGCUCACGGACUUGAGGGAUACCUAAAGGGGAAGUUUGUUUAUAAUUCGUACCCACUCCUUGGAGAAAGGAUUCAAGGCAGCCGGUGAUGAAAACACCCAUGCUUGCAAGUGAAGGUUCUGCCUGUCACUUCUCGCAGAGGCUGCAGAAAAGGCCCAGGAGGCUGUUGAUGACAUGAACGACCACCAGGAGAAGCUGGAGCAGGCUGAUGCACAGAAGGGCGGAGAAGAGGGACACGUGCCAGACAACAGCUGCAGAGGGCUCCAGGCAGACGGAGUUCCAGAGCGAACGGUCAUAUAGAUAAUUCCUAUCCCAAAAAAUAAAGACACCAGGGGUCGGGCGAUAAGUAAGGAAAGCCAAACAGGCAACCCCAGUAGAAAACUGGGGUCUCCCCUGACUGGGUCACGGGACUGGGCUCGUGAGGGUGACCAUUACUGCUCCAUUUGCAAUUUUCUGAGUAUCAGAGGAGCAAGAUGCUAGGAUGUGUGACCCAAAGGAGCUUGUAGUUCAUCAGUGUGUCUUUUUGUCUCUCUCUCUCUGUCUGAAAAGACCAAGCCCAGGCCUCUACCCAUUUACCUACUGUGCAGGUCUUUGAAUGGGUAACCAUAUUUCCAAGCUUGUGUCUGAUUGAAGGACGAAACAUCAAACAUGCAAAAAGGACCAUCUUUCAGAGCAGCUCCAGAAGUGACAAAGCAAAUCAGGGCUCCAAGUAAAGCCAGGCCACUUGACAACAGAGCAGUAAGCACCUGCGGAGGGAGGGUGAGACGGUGAGCUAAGAUGGGGUCGCGGCUGGGGAGCCUGUGGGGCGGUCUGCACAGGUCUGACUUCUCUGGUCUCAGGUGUUCUUCUGUCUUGUCACGGGAGAAUUCUGUCCAUGGCACCCCCUUUGAAGCAUAACCCAAGGUGGGGAGGCCAGUGAGGGGGUUCCAGGAGAGAAAGGAACAAGAAGCAGAAUCGCAGGCCCCAGAUCUCCCGGACUCUGUGAGUUCGCCUGAGCUGCUCAGCAGCUUGGCAUCACAAACCUUUUGCAGAUUACAGCCAUUCAGCCUCUGAGCUAAAGAGGCAGGUUAUCACAGGCCCACCUCUGACUCUUCUAAGGAAAAGCUGCAUUUUCAAAAGUUCCAGGUUCCCAACUCUGAUUCUUCUCUAUUUCAAAUCAAGGAUAAA
This is a long non-coding RNA of Nomascus leucogenys (northern white-cheeked gibbon), 1228 nucleotides long. RefSeq lists it as uncharacterized. The transcript has 2 exons. The record is from RefSeq and is a predicted model, not a curated record. Lineage: Eukaryota; Metazoa; Chordata; Mammalia; Primates; Hylobatidae.